CCUACGGGUGGCAGCAGUGAGGAAUAUUGGUCAAUGGGAGAGAUCCUGAACCAGCCAAGCCGCGUGAGGGAAGACGGCCCUAUGGGUUGUAAACCUCUUUUGUCGGAGAACAAAACCCGGGACGUGUCCCGGACUGCGUGUAUCCGAAGAAAAAGCAUCGGCUAACUCCGUGCCAGCAGCCGCGGUAAUACGUAGGAGGCAAGCGUUAUCCGGAAUGACUGGGCGUAAAGGGUGCGUAGGUGGUUUGGCAAGUUGGUAGCGUAAUCCCGGGGCUCAACCUCGGUGCUACUACCAAAACUGUUGAACUUGAGUGCAGGAGGGGUGAAUGGAAUUCCCAGUGUAGCGGUGGAAUGCGUAGAUAUUGGGAAGAACACCAGCGGCGAAGGCGAUUCACUGGACUGUAACUGACACUGAGGCACGAAAGCGUGGGGAGCAAACAGGAUUAGAUACCCCAGUAGUC
This 460-nucleotide ribosomal RNA is filed under the name uncultured bacterium. RNAcentral describes it as "partial 16S ribosomal RNA". It matches the Rfam family "Bacterial small subunit ribosomal RNA", at positions 338 to 795 of the family's 1533-position model. The record is from RNAcentral.